Molecule: ribosomal RNA, 513 nt
Filed under: Eubacterium sp. oral clone BP1-82
Lineage: Bacteria; Bacillati; Bacillota; Clostridia; Eubacteriales; Eubacteriaceae
Description: bacterial SSU rRNA
Rfam family: Bacterial small subunit ribosomal RNA
Source: RNAcentral
AGAGUUUGAUCCUGGCUCAGGAUGAACGCUGGCGGCGUGCUUAACACAUGCAAGUCGAGCGAGAAGUUUUGAAAAGAUUCUUCGGAUGAAAUUUAAAAUGGAAAGCGGCGGACGGGUGAGUAACGCGUAGGCAACCUGCCCCAUACAAAGGGAUAGCAUUUGGAAACGAAUAUUAAUACCUUAUGAAACUUAACUAGUGCAUGCUAGGUAGGUCAAAGAUUUAUCGGUAUGGGAUGGGCCUGCGUCUGAUUAGCUAGUUGGUGAGGUAACGGCUCACCAAGGCGACGAUCAGUAGCCGACCUGAGAGGGUGAACGGCCACAUCGGAACUGAGACACGGCCCAAACUCCUACGGGAGGCAGCAGUGGGGAAUAUUGCACAAUGGGGGAAACCCUGAUGCAGCAACGCCGCGUGAACGAUGAAGGCCUUUGGGUCGUAAAGUUCUGUUCUAGGUGAUGAAAACUGACAGUAACCUAGGAGAAAGCCCCGGCUAACUCCGUGCCAGCAGCCGCGGU